GACGGGGGAUGCCAGCGUUAACCGGAAUCACUGGGCGUAAAGCGUCUGCAGGUGGUGAUGCAAGUCACUGGUGCAAAACUCUGGCUCAACCGGAGGAAAGCCAGUGAAACUGCAUGACUAGAGUGUGGGAGAGGUAGAAGGAAUUCCCCGUGUAGCGGUGAAAUGCGUAGAUACAGGGAAGAACACCGGAGGCGAAAGCGUUCUACUGGAACACAACUGACUCUCAGAGAAGAAAGCUAGGGGAGCGAAUGGG
This 253-nucleotide ribosomal RNA is filed under the name uncultured bacterium. Its description in RNAcentral is "partial 16S ribosomal RNA". It matches the Rfam family "Bacterial small subunit ribosomal RNA", at positions 524 to 776 of the family's 1533-position model. The record is from RNAcentral.